AUACCAUCAUCUCAAAGACAGGCUGCUACACUUGAAAUCACCAUAUUUUAGAUGAAGCGAAAACAACGUCCAAUCACACUUGCAAGAGCAUGCUAUAGAUUUCAACCAUUUUCAUCUAGGAAAUUCUGGCCCUUCUGAGAAGCAGAAUGGCUUUUCAGAUUUGAAUGGAAUCACUACAGAAUCGUUCCGCCCCCCUGACACAGCCCUACACUAGCCUGCCCCCACAUUACUGGCAGGGAGAGGGCUGGCUGUGUGGAAGAUCCCUGUGGUAGCAGCCCUGGAACAAGCCAGGAGACAGGCUGCGAUUCCAGGUUCUCCCUAACCCCACCUCCACGAGCAACUUCCCUUUUCUUAUCAUCAUCAUCAUCUGUACUGUGGUCCCCCAACAGGAUUCAGGCCACGCAGUGCUGAGCACCGGGCAACGAAAGGUAACAACGGGAUCCCUACAAGCGAAACAGAGAGGGUAGCUAUUAUCAAGCUGCCUGCAGCGUCAAAUGGAGCCUGCACCAGCCACAGGAUUGACGCAAGAGAGGGGGACGUUAGCUGGAGGAAGCCAGUGUGGCAGCCAGUUUAAACGGAGACUGCUAAGUGGACAAUACUCACUCUCCCUCCAGUUUAGCUAAUUCUAUAUUUAUUUCCAGCUGGAACAAGCACUCCUUAAAUCCUGGCAGCAAUGACUGGGGCAGUUAGAAAGGAGUCAAAAGUGCCACCAUCUUGGAAAACAUCGGGAUGAUCCAGCAGCGCCCUCCUCCAAGCUCUUCUUCAGCACUUCUCUCUCUCCAGGCAAACCCCUACGCCUCCCCUUUAAGAAACGGUACCAGCCACAAACUCAAAAAUUCUCAGAACCACCAUGACACUUCCAGCACCAGCAAGAGAGGCUGCAGUCAUCUCUCGUCCUCCACUCCACUAAUGAGCUUCUCCAGUUACCGCUGCCUAGACUGAAAGAGCGCUUUGUUCCAGCUGGAAGAAAGUUUAGAGUUAGCUGAAAUGGAAGGAGGAGUAAAUCUCCAUGCCCCAACCAAACAAGAUGACAUCCAUUGCAUCCUCCACUUUUAACAGAGGCCAGAAAAAGGGCAUCUUCUUGGCAGUAUUAGACUCAACCACUCUACUGGAAAACCACUGUUAGCUGGGAUUAAACCACCUUGCACUCA
Molecule: long non-coding RNA, 1151 nt
Organism: Mauremys reevesii (Reeves's turtle)
Lineage: Eukaryota; Metazoa; Chordata; Testudines; Geoemydidae
Exons: 2
Source: RefSeq, a predicted model, not a curated record